UACGGGGGGGGGCAAGCGUUGUUCGGAAUUACUGGGCGUAAAGGGCGCGUAGGCGGCCUUCUAAGUCAGCCGUGAAAUCCCUCGGCUCAACCGGGGAACUGCGUCUGAUACUGGGAGGCUUGAAUCCGGGAGAGGAAUGCGGAAUUCCAGGUGUAGCGGUGAAAUGCGUAGAUAUCUGGAGGAACACCGGUGGCGAAGGCGGCAUUCUGGACCGGCAUUGACGCUGAGGCGCGAAAGCCAGGGGAGCAAACGGG
Molecule: ribosomal RNA, 254 nt
Filed under: uncultured bacterium
Lineage: Bacteria
Description: partial 16S ribosomal RNA
Rfam family: Bacterial small subunit ribosomal RNA
Source: RNAcentral